GGAGCAAUCCUGGUGGCGAGUGGCGAACGGGUGAGUAAUGUAUCGGAACGUACCUUUCAGUGGGGGAUAACGUAGCGAAAGUUACGCUAAUACCGCAUAUUCUGUGAGCAGGAAAGCAGGGGAUCGCAAGACCUUGCGCUGAUUGAGCGGCCGAUAUCAGAUUAGCUAGUUGGUGAGGUAAAGGCUCACCAAGGCGACGAUCUGUAGCGGGUCAGAGGAUGAUCCGCCACACUGGAACUGAGACACGGUCCAGACUCCUACGGGAGGCAGCAGUGGGGAAUUUUGGACAAUGGGCGCAAGCCUGAUCCAGCCAUGCCGCGUGAGUGAAGAAGGCCUUCGGGUUGUAAAGCUCUUUCAGCCGGGAAGAAAACGCAUGGGUUAAUACCCUGUGUGGAUGACGGUACCGGAAUAAGAAGCACCGGCUAACUACGUGCCAGCAGCCGCGGUAAUACGUAGGGUGCGAGCGUUAAUCGGAAUUACUGGGCGUAAAGCGUGCGCAGGCGGUUUGUUAAGAUAGGCGUGAAAUCCCCGGGCUCAACCUGGGAACUGCGUUUAUGACUGGCAGGCUAGAGUAUGGCAGAGGGGGGUGGAAUUCCACGUGUAGCAGUGAAAUGCGUAGAGAUGUGGAGGAACACCGAUGGCGAAGGCAGCCCCCUGGGCCAAUACUGACGCUCAUGCACGAAAGCGUGGGUAGCAAACAGGAUUAGAUACCCUGGUAGUCCACGCCCUAAACGAUGUCAACUAGGUGUUGGGAGGGUAAAACCUUUUAGUACCGGAGCUAACGCGUGAAGUUGACCGCCUGGGGAGUACGGCCGCAAGGUUAAAACUCAAAGGAAUUGACGGGGACCCGCACAAGCGGUGGAUGAUGUGGAUUAAUUCGAUGCAACGCGAAAAACCUUACCUACCCUUGACAUGUCCGGAAGCCCUUAGAGAUUUGGGUGUGCUCGAAAGAGAGCCGGAACACAGGUGCUGCAUGGCUGUCGUCAGCUCGUGUCGUGAGAUGUUGGGUUAAGUCCCGCAACGAGCGCAACCCUUGACGUUAAUUGCCAUCAUUCAGUUGGGCACUUUAACGAGACUGCCGGUGACAAACCGGAGGAAGGUGGGGAUGACGUCAAGUCCUCAUGGCCCUUAUGGGUAGGGCUUCACACGUCAUACAGUGGUCGGUACAAAGGGUCGCCAACCCGCGAGGGGGAGCUAAUCCCAGAAAGCCGAUCGUAGUCCGGAUCGUAGGCUGCAACUCGCCUGCGUGAAGUCGGAAUCGCUAGUAAUCGUGGAUCAGCAUGUCACGGUGAAUACGUUCCCGGGUCUUGUACACACCGCCCGUCACACCAUGGGAGCGGGUUCCGCCAGAAGUAGGUAGCCUAACCGCAAGGGGGGCGCUUACCACGGCGGGGUUCGUGACUGGGGUGAAGUCGUAACAAGGUA
This 1425-nucleotide ribosomal RNA is filed under the name metagenome. Its description in RNAcentral is "bacterial SSU rRNA". It matches the Rfam family "Bacterial small subunit ribosomal RNA". The record is from RNAcentral.